This 480-nucleotide ribosomal RNA is filed under the name uncultured bacterium. RNAcentral describes it as "bacterial SSU rRNA". It matches the Rfam family "Bacterial small subunit ribosomal RNA", at positions 28 to 517 of the family's 1533-position model. The record is from RNAcentral.
GACGAACGCUGGCGGCGUGCCUAACACAUGCAAGUCGAGCGGAGGAUGCGGCGUAGUAAUACAAAGUAUCUUUAGCGGCGGACGGGUGAGUAACACGUGGGUAACCUGCCUCAGAGUGGGGGAUAGCCUUUCGAAAGGAAGAUUAAUACCGCAUAAGAUUGUAGCGUCACAUGGCGCAGCAAGAAAGGAGCAAUCCGCUUUGAGAUGGACCCGCGGCGCAUUAGCUAGUUGGUGAGGUAACGGCUCACCAAGGCCACGAUGCGUAGCCGACCUGAGAGGGUGAUCGGCCACAUUGGAACUGAGACACGGUCCAGACUCCUACGGGAGGCAGCAGUGGGGAAUAUUGCACAAUGGGCGAAAGCCUGAUGCAGCAACGCCGCGUGAGUGAUGAAGGCCUUCGGUCGUAAAGCUCUUUGUAUCAGGGAUGAUAAUGACAGUACCUGAAAACAAGACCACGGCUAACUAACGUGCCAGCAGCCG